This 253-nucleotide ribosomal RNA is filed under the name uncultured bacterium. RNAcentral describes it as "partial 16S ribosomal RNA". It matches the Rfam family "Archaeal small subunit ribosomal RNA", at positions 474 to 727 of the family's 1478-position model. The record is from RNAcentral.
UACCUGCAGCCCAAGUGGUGCUCGUUAUUAUUGGGUCUAAAACGUCCGUAGUCGGCUGAGUAGAUGCCCGGGUAAAUCGCAGCGCUCAACAUUGCGAAUUCCGGGUAGACCGCUCGGCUAGGGAGUGGGAGAGGUGCGAGGUACUCUGAGGGUAGGGGUAAAAUCCUGUAAUCCUUGGGGGACCACCAGUGGCGAAGGCGUCGCACUAGAACACGUCCGACGAUCAGGGACGAAGCCCUGGGGCGCAAACGGG